UUGACCUCAGAUCAGGUAGA
This 20-nucleotide ribosomal RNA is filed under the name Acremonium sp. r093. Its description in RNAcentral is "partial 28S ribosomal RNA". The record is from RNAcentral. Lineage: Eukaryota; Fungi; Ascomycota; Sordariomycetes; Hypocreales; Bionectriaceae.